Molecule: ribosomal RNA, 253 nt
Filed under: uncultured bacterium
Lineage: Bacteria
Description: partial 16S ribosomal RNA
Rfam family: Bacterial small subunit ribosomal RNA
Source: RNAcentral
UACAGAGGGUGCAAGCGUUGUUCGGAAUUAUUGGGCGUAAAGCGCGUGUAGGCGGCUUUGCAAGUCGGGUGUGAAAGCCCUCAGCUCAACUGAGGAAGUGCGCCCGAAACUGCAGAGCUUGAGUACCGGAGAGGGUGGCGGAAUUUCCCAAGUAGAGGUGAAAUUCGUAGAUAUGGGGAGGAACACCGGUGGCGAAGGCGGCCACCUGGACGGUUACUGACGCUGAGACGCGAAAGCGUGGGGAGCGAACAGG